This 58-nucleotide transfer RNA is filed under the name Eleutherocaulis alte. RNAcentral's name for it is "Laevicaulis alte tRNA-Val". Lineage: Eukaryota; Metazoa; Mollusca; Gastropoda; Systellommatophora; Veronicellidae. The record is from RNAcentral.
ACAAAACGCUAUAAAUUUUAUAGUUAUUUCUUCUUGUAAGAAAGAGUAUACCAUUUUG